UUGACAAAGAUAUGAGUCAUCCACAGCUGCCAAAGCAAAUUGAGGAUGCGAAAAUUGCAAUUUUGACAUGUCCUUUUGAGCCUCCUAAGCCAAAGACUAAGCAUAAGGUUGACAUUGAUACUGUGGAGAAGUUUCAAACUUUACGCCUACAGGAGCAGAAGUACUUUGAUGACAUGGUCCAGAAGUGCAAGGAUGUUGGUGCUACCUUAGUUAUCUGCCAGUGGGGUUUUGAUGAUGAAGCUAAUCAAAUAUUAAUGCAUAGAAAUUUGCCCGCUGUUAGAUGGGUAGGUGGUGUGGAAUUGGAGCUGAUAGCAAUUGCCACAGGUGGGAGAAUAGUACCAAGGUUUCAAGAGUUGACAUCUGAAAAACUUGGCAAGGCUGGUAUUGUUCGGGAGAAAGCUUUCGGUACAACAAAGGAUAGAAUGAUUUACAUUGAGCAUUGUGCAAAUUCAAGAGCAGUAACUAUAUUUAUCCGUGGUGGCAAUAAGAUGAUGAUAGUGGAGACAAAACGUAGUAUCCAUGAUGCUUUAUGUGUUGCUAGAAAUCUUAUUCGCAACAAUUCAAUUGUGUAUGGUGGUGGUUCAGCAGAGAUUUCUUGCUCAAAUGCUGUUGAAGCGGCUGCUGAUAAACAUCCAGGAGUUGAACAGUAAGCAAUCAGGGCAUUUGCAGAUGCUUUGGAUUCUGUCCUAAUGGCACUUGCUAAGAACAGUGGUCUUCAGCCUAUUGAAACUCUAUCUGCUGUUAAGUCUCAGCAAAUUAAGGAGAAUAUUCCCUGCUGUGGAAUAGAUUGUAAUGAUGUUGGCACAAAUGACCAUAAAUCCUUGAACAGGAUUUCUAUUGAAUCCCAGCCAAUAUACAGAAAGAACCAAACCUUUUUCUGCUUUAUAUCUACUAGUAAGCAUCUUUUCCAAGGCAGUAUUAAAUUCAAUCUUAUGCUUGAUGACACUCAACACCGCCGAAGAAAUUCAUAUCUUCAUGGCAACAAUCACUAAUAUUUUUACGAGAGAAAUUCUGAAGGAUGACUUGAACUAAUAAUAUCACCUUUUAAAGGAUAAAAGUGUCUUCUUUCCUUCAAUACUCAAUGUUGGAAAGGUUCCCCAAGCUUUACUAGCUCAUAGGAUGGCCUUGAAUUUUGUUUUCUGAUCCUAGGUCUGCUUAUCAAAGAUCCAUGUCUAGUUUAAAAUUAAAGUUUGGUGUGUUUAUAGCCUUAAUCUAAAUUAUAAGAUCGUCGGUUAAAACUAAUUCAAAUUUUUUGAGACCAGAAUGAAGUUGCUGACUUAAAUGGAUGAUAGUGAUAUAAUUCAAAUACUUAUUAUUUUAUACACACUAGUGAUAUAAUAAAGACUGAUUUCUUUUACAUGUGUCCACCAAAAAUCCUUCUGUUAUGGUAGUAGUUGGUUUCUUUAAUUUGUUAUUUGAGCAAAAUGUAACUGGUUUGUUCAGUGCAUUGAAUCAAUGAGGAUGCAUUUGAAUUAAGCUGCAAUUCAGAAGAGUGAAGUUUGAUACUUAUUUUCAUUUGUAAAAUUUUGUAAUGCAGAUUUCCUUGAAACUCUAUGGAGGGAUGUUGAUAUGAACAGGCACCAUCACAAUCCUAAUGAGGAGUUGAAUCUUGUAAUUGUAUCCCAUGGUCUAGCUAGUCGAGUUUUUCUAAUGAAGUGGUUCAAGUGGACAGUGGAACAAUUCGAGUACCUAAACAAUCUAGGGAAUUGUGAGUUUCGAGUUAUGGAAUUAGGGGCGGGUGGUGAAUAUAGCCUAGCAGUCCAUCAUACUGAUGAAGAGAUGCUAGAAUGGGGUAUGUCCCCUGAGAUGAUCGCUGACCAAAAAUGGCGAGCUAAUGCUAACAGGGGUACUUUGAAUGAUCAUUGCCCUUGGUACCUUGAUGCUUUCUUUGACCAUUUAGCGGAUUCAAAUGACAAAGAUGAUGAAGAUGUGAAGUCAAACAACUCGUAUCUCCCCUUAGCAUGACAUUGAUAAUGUGUAUUCGUUCCAAUUCUGUUGUACUGUUCAUUUGGUUAACUGAUAGAAAUGUUUGUAAGCUCUUUUCAAGUUGCUGUUACAAUUUUAGGCCCGGAGACAUUAUCAGUGUCAAUUUCUUGUAAAUUUGAAACUUCCAAUUGUAUAACAAUCAUUUGAUAUCAAGGAUGAAGUAUGAAUUUAGUUUUUGACUGGUAAAAUUAUGAUUUUUAAACAGGAUGAAGAUUGAUUUAGUUUUGACAGGGUCAAGUUACAAGUUUUAGACCAGUUUUCACUGCUGAGGUCGUUGUUUUAACUGACGUAUAAUGGAAGGUAAUUGCAGAGUUGAAAGCACUUUUGCAUUGAAAUUCACCUUAUCAAGUUCUCUCGAGUCUAAUUCUGAAAACUUUGACCAAUGACCAUUAUUUUGACAUGGAAUGAAAAAUUGCCACGUAUAAUUUUUUAAUAUCUAAGUUAAAAUUUUAAGAUAUUGAAUUGAUUCAAAGCUUAUAAGUCGAUUAAAUUGACUUAUAAACAUUCAAAAUGCUUAUGAGCCAAAAUCAACAAAAGUCAUUAGUAAUCAACCUCAACUUAUUAUUUCUUCGGAUUAUAAGCACUUUUAGUUUAUCGAGCCUUCACUCUUAUGCAAUAGUUUGCAAACCACACAAGAGAGGUAAUUCGCACUAGGUAAACCCGGUGCGACAAGCUCGACCCAGAAAAUGAAUCCCUUGCUUUCAGUGGCAAGAGAUUUCAAACUUGAGACCUCCAAUAUGAAAGUCUCAAGCCCAAACCACUAGGUUACUCGAAGAGUCAUUUUAAAAUGGCAUAGCAUAACACCCUAUAGACUAAAUUAGCAAUAAAUAACCCACUUUUAAUUUUUUAGCAAGAAAAAAACUUGUUUUAUUAUUUGGCAUUGAAUAGUUAUUUUUCUCUUUUUUUUUAAAUGUAUUUUUGUUCUCCUUAUUUUUCUGAAACACACGUUUGCUUGCUGUUUUUUUUUUUCUUGAAAAGAAAAAAAUUAUUGUUUUAUUAUCCCUAUUUUUAUCACUUUUUUUAUUUUGUCAACACUUUUAAAAUAAAGUUCUUCUCUUUUUUGUCUCCUUUUUCUUUUUCCAUAAUUCUUUUCAUACGUAUAUUUGAUUCUCACCCAAAUUUUCAAUUCUUCUCCUUAAUUCAAUCUGUUUAUGAAAAUCAGAUAUAACAUUAUGUUUUUUCAUGGAUACUUCUAAAAAUCAUCUUUAUAUAUAAUCUUGUUCUUGUCCAAUUAAUUGUUGAAUUUCAUGAUUUGUAGAAUUGAAGUUUUUUCAAUUUUGUUUUUGUGAAAAUUUAGGUUAUUCAACCUUCUUUUGUUUUCUUUCUAAAAGCCUUUUCAUAUGUAUAUUUUCUUCUCUUCUGAAUUUUCUCUUAUUCUCCUUAAUUUACUUUGUCUAUGCAAAUCAGAUAUAACUGUAUGUUUAUCGAUUGAUCCUUUCAAUAAUUUCUUUUAAUAUAUAAUUAUGUAGCAUUUCUUGCCCCAUUAAUUUUGAAAUUUCAUGAUUUUUGGAACUAAAGUUUUAAAACUUUUUUUGGCGAAAAUUCAGGUAAUAGUUUUUGAAAUUUUUGUUCUCAAUUUCAUGGGUAAAAAAGAUUCUCGUAAGAUCUUCGUAAAAAAUCAGAAUGUUGAUUUUAAUGAAUACAACCCAAUGUAUACUAAUGAAUUCCAAUCUCAAUUUAAAUUAAAGUAUACAAGUUAUUAUGUGAAUACAAAUCACUGAAUACACGAUGAAUACGAACUAAUGUAUACAUAGUGCAGUUACCGUAUACAUAAACAAAAUCACGUGUACAAUUAAUGAAUAAAAUUUAUAUAUGUAUCAUAUUAAUUUCAUUCUUGUAUACAUUAUAGUAAUACGUAUGAUUGAUGGUAAUACUCUUAUGUAUACAAUAUAAAGUUUAUGUAUACAUGCUAAAAUUACUGUAUACAUCAAUAAAAUUUACACGUCUAUUUUUAUGAAUAUUUUUUGUGUAUACAUAUUUUUUCUUAUGUAUACAUUAUGUAAUCGCAACUUUAAUUAUUGUAUAAUUUAUGCAUAUGUAUAAUUACAGUUCCUAAUAAAAUGUCAUUUAAUAUUAUUUGAUUAAUUAUGUCGAUUAUGUGAUAAUUAAUACACGUUAGAGCAUUAAUAAUACAUUUUCUUACCUUAAAAGUAGUCACAAUCUUUUAAUAAGUUAUUUAAAGAAUUUGAAAAAAAUUAUUCCUUAAAAGUUGGUGUAACCUUUUUUUAAUGUGUUAAUUAAUAAAUAUAUAUAUUUCACUUCUUAAAAGUAGGCAAUCGGUUUUGUAAAAAACUAAUUAUUGUUGAUUGGUAAAAUAAAUAAUUCAUAAAAUUACAAUCAAAUAUAUCUUUAUUUUUCUGUAAAUUGGUCAAUAUUUUUUUUUAUAGACGGUUAAAUAAAGUUGAAUUUGAGAAUUUAAAGAAAUUGAUAAGCUAACUUCCUUAAUUAUAGGAGUUAAAAAUAAGGAAGAAAAAAUAAUUCCACAUCUCCUUAAUUAAUGCAUAUUGGUUGCACAUGAUUAAAAGAAAAAAACUAUAAAAAGUUGGUUUUAUUUUUUUUAAGCUCAUACAUGCUAAUUUUAUUUUAGGCUAUUAAUUGCUAAUUAAUAUUGGGCUAUAUAGGGAAAAUGCAUAAGUACCCCCCAGCCUAUGCCCAAAAUCUCUGAGACACACCUAACCUUUACUAAGGUCCUAUUACCCCCCCGAACUUAUUUUUUAAUUAAUUUUUUACCACUUUUUGGCUUACGUGGCAAUAUAAACCAAAUAGGUUGAAAGCUUUGUUCAACACGCGCCGGGCCCCACUUUUUCAACUUUCUAAAAAGUAGCUUUUACACUUCCCAAAAUUUCAAAAAGCUAUCCUAUUAUUUAUAAUCUACUUUGUUAAUAUAUUUUUAGUUAGUUUAUAGUUUUCAAUGUUUAUAUAUUUUAUUUUAAAUUUGGGCUUGUAAAAUUUUGUAAAUAUUAUAUAUAUAAUUUUAUUUUAUUUAUAGAUAAAAAAAUUUNNNNNNNNNNNNNNNNNNNNNNNNNNNNNNNNNNNNNNNNNNNNNNNNNNNNNNNNNNNNNNNNNNNNNNNNNNNNNNNNNNNNNNNNNNNNNNNNNNNNNNNNNNNNNNNNNNNNNNNNNNNNNNNNNNNNNNNNNNNNNNNNNNNNNNNNNNNNNNNNNNNNNNNNNNNNNNNNNNNNNNNNNNNNNNNNNNNNNNNNNNNNNNNNNNNNNNNNNNNNNNNNNNNNNNNNNNNNNNNNNNNNNNNNNNNNNNNNNNNNNNNNNNNNNNNNNNNNNNNNNNNNNNNNNNNNNNNNNNNNNNNNNNNNNNNNNNNNNNNNNNNNNNNNNNNNNNNNNNNNNNNNNNNNNNNNNNNNNNNNNNNNNNNNNNNNNNNNNNNNNNNNNNNNNNNNNNNNNNNNNNNNNNNNNNNNNNNNNNNNNNNNNNNNNNNNNNNNNNNNNNNNNNNNNNNNNNNNNNNNNNNNNNNNNNNNNNNNNNNNNNNNNNNNNNNNNNNNNNNNNNNNNNNNNNNNNNNNNNNNNNNNNNNNNNNNNNNNNNNNNNNNNNNNNNNNNNNNNNNNNNAAAAAACCCGAAAGAACCAACUAAAACCGAAAUCGAAAAAACCGACUUUGCGUGGUUUGAUUUGGUAUUUAGAUUUAAUAAACCGACAUAAUUGGUUUAGGUUUUUUUUAAUGAAAAACCAAACCAAACCGACCUAUGUACACCCCUACUUCUAAGUCAUCAAGAAUCGUGGUUGAGUUCAAAGGUUAGUUUUUUCUUGAUUUUAUUUUGUUAGCUUUUCGAAGAAAGGAGCAAUUUAACUUAUGAUAAUGGAGGUUUAUUUUUUCAAACAUGAAGAACAAUAAUAAAGAAGACGAAAAUUUAGUUAAUAUUUAUUUUUUCCAAGUUUAUUUUAACACAUGACCAAUUUUUAUUGGUCAGUGCUGCCAAAAAGCUGCACCCACGCGCUUAGCAUAGGUGAAAUCACGGACUCAGCCACGUAGGCCGAAAAAGUGGUAAAACAAUUAACUAAAAAAAUAAGUUCAGGGGGGUAAUAGGACCUUAGUAAAGGUUAGGUGUGUCUCAGGGAUUUUGGGCAUAGGCUGAGGGGGUACUUAUGCAUUUUCCCGACUAUAUAUUACCAAUUAUAUAUAAUAGUUGUAUGUUUGUGUCAAUUCCUCGUAAAUUUUCAAAAACAAAACUUCUAACUUCCCUCCAUCCCAUAUACACCAUUCAUCCUUUUCCUAACGAAAAUAUUUUUAUAUUUAUAAUUUGUAAUAAAGAAAGGAUGAAAAAUAAUAUGUUAAUCAUUUAUUUAUUAAAUUAAUUUUAAUACUAGAAAAAUUCUUAUCAACACGUAAUGUUUAAUAAUUUUCAUAUGUACUUCCCUGGUUGUAUAUGAGUUGAAUCAAAAAUAUCAAAUGAAUGGUUGUUUUCAAUCAGCUAAUUCAAACGAACUUUUUUAAGUAUGAGAUUCUUUGUAGGUGAUUUUCAUGUAAUUUCUACAAACUUGGAACUUAGACUCUACUCAUACGCUAAAAGAAUGCCGCGUGGGACAUAUAACUCUUAGCUUGACUCAAUUUUUAAUUACUCUCUAGUCAAGUCUAGUCCUUCAAUAUGCCAACAAAACGACAUAUACGAAUAAAAAAAAGGACAAAAAAAUGUAAAUUGACUUCAUUAAUUAAGAAAGUCUUUUAAUAAUUCAUUAAUUAAGAAAGUCUUUUAAUAAUUCAUUAAUUAAGAAAGUCUUUUAAUAAUUCAUUAAUUAAGAAAGUCUUUUAAUAAUUCAUUAAUUAAGAAAGUCUUUUAAUAAUUCAUUAAUUAAGAAAGUCUUUUAAUAAUUCAUUAAUUAAGAAAGUCUUUUAAUAAUUCAUUAAUUAAGAAAGUCUUUUAAUAAUUCAUUAAUUAAGAAAGUCUUUUAAUAAUUCAUUAAUUAAGAAAGUCUUUUAAUAAUUCAUUAAUUAAGAAAGUCUUUUAAUAAUUCAUUAAUUAAGAAAGUCUUUUAAUAAUUCAUUAAUUAAGAAAGUCUUUUAAUAAUUCAUUGUAAUUACUUAUUUGCUAAAAGCUUAUGUGGAACUGUAAACAUAUGUAUAAUUAAUUACCUAAUGAAAAUUUAAAUGAAAACUUUUCACGCAUGCAAUGUAGUUGUAUAAUUAAUAAGGGAAACGUACUUUAUUAUAAAACUAGUGAACUUAACCGCGCUUCGCGUGAUUAGAAAUAAUUCGCUAAAUUCGUCAAAUAAUUAAUUUUUAGAAUAAUUGAGUGUUAAAAAUAUUCUAAAAAUUCUUUGUAAUGUUUAAUUCAAAUAUAUCAAAUUUCAUUCUUAAUUUAGUUUGUUAUUAGUACUUGUGUUUUAUAUAUUUUGGCAUUUUAAAUCGCUUAAGAAUCGUAGGUCUUCUGGAUAAAAAAGCCACACCGCUAAAAUUGUUCACCUUAUUUUAGAGAAAAUGGCCAAAUGACCCCCUAACAUAUUAGCCAAUUCUCAACUACACACUAAUACUUUACGGGGGUCCUAUUACCCCCCUGAAUCUUUUAUUUUUGAUAUUUUGUAAUCCUUAAACGCUAAUCUUUUGUCAUUAACCAAAUAUAUACACAUGUUUGUAUACACGCACGGGGCCCACUUCUAUCACUUUUAUUUUUCUUCAUAUUUUAGAUCCAGUGAGCCGUGGUCCUUUACUUUUCUCUUUUAAGUUAGAAUGAAAUUUCUAAUUUCAAACUAACCAAUAAUAUGUAUGAUUCAAUUGUGUAUCAAUCUUUCUUAUACAACUCCAAUGACAAGUAAUUUUUGUACAUCCAGAAAUGAUUUUUCUUAGUACUUCACUUUUUACCAUUUCAAGAAUUAAUUUUUCAAACAUUCAUUUUUGCNNNNNNNNNNNNNNNNNNNNNNNNNNCAGUGAGCCCAUUUCCUUUACUUUUCUCUUUUAAGUUAGAAUGAAAUUUCUAAUUUUAAACUAACCAAUAAUAUGUAUGAUUCAAUUGUGUAUCAAUCUUUCUUAUACAACUCCAAUAACAAGUAAUUUUUGUACAUCCAGAAAUGAUUUUUCUUAGUACUUCACUUUUUACCAUUUCAAGAAUUAAUUUUUCAAACAUUCAUUUUUGCAUAGCUUAUUCUAUUAGCAGAAGAACACAUAUUUAUAGUGACCCAAAUGAGUAAAAAUUGACAAUUUUUUAAAUCUCGAAGGGCAGAUCUAGUGAUGGAGUUUAUGAGUUGAAGAGGGAAAUAACUUAUAUUAUGGACAUCGACAAGGAGAAGAAAUUUCAAACCUUAUCGAUGAAUCUCAAUACCCAAAAAAUUUAUAAUUUUGAUAGGCAAGAAAAAUUUCGAACACUAAAUUUGAAAUUGGAGAGCAUUAGAGAGGAUUACGAACGCCACAACAUCAGUCUUUCAAAUGGAAGAUAUCAUUGUAAGCUUUGAAAUGGAAGAUGAUAAAACUCAAGCUUAAAAAUGGCAGAAAAGAGGAAGAAGAAAGAAGAUUUUUUCGAGAAAAUGGCAAAAAAAAUGCAAGCUAUAGCUGGCAGCCUUAAUUUUAGGUUGAUUUCAUCUUACACGUGGAUUUAAAAUGCAGAUUAUAUGCUUUAGAUAAGUAUCUACGCGCCUAAGGAAAGUGUAUUCACUUUCUUGGGCAUGUCAGCGUUUAAGGGCUACAAAAUAUCAAAAAUUAAAGAUCUAGGGGAUAAUAGGACCCCCGUAAAGUAUUGGUGUGUAGUUGAGAAUUGACUAAUAGGUUAGGGGGUUAUUUAACCAUUUUCUCCCUUAUUUUAAUUAAAAAAGGUAAGUUUGAUUUAAUAAGUUGAACUCUUCAUCUAUAUGUGUAUCUAUACAUAAGUUUUCCUUUCAUUUAUUUUGAAAUAUAUAUAAGCUUAUAUGCUUAAAAAUGUAAAUAUAUUUAAUAUAUAUUUUUUACGAAAACAUUUUUUUUUACAACUGUUUUUUGUUCUUUUAAAACGCAGAGUUAAUUUUUUAUGAUAUCAACCUAUAAAGGUAAAAUUAUACAUUAUGUUUACUUCAAUUAAAUUAGUGUUAAAGAUGUCCAUUUCCAGUGUAAUCACCCCUCUAAUAAUUCUUUGGUCUGCCUCUACUUUUUCUGAAACCAUCCAUAGUUAAACAAAACUUUUUUUCUUGAUAAAUAAAUAAACAUAUUUUAUUCUUAAUAAAAUAUUGCUCUUAAAGAAUCUUAUCCUUUAAAAUUUAUGGUUAAGACAUAAACUGUCUAAAAAAAUAUGUUUUGUACAUAAGACUUCACAAAGAAUAAAACUUACAAAAGAAAUCGUAUUAAAUUAUACAAAGAAGUAAAAUCGCCAGUCCUUUCAGAAUUGAAGAAUAUCAUAAGCACAUUACAUCACAAUUGUUUAUUUUCUCCUGCGCCUGCUUGACUCCAAUGCAUUGUAACUUAUAAUAAGUGAACUCUAGUAUGUAUCGAGCUCAUAUUAAAUUUACAUUCAUACAAGAAUUCAAAUUAGAAAUAUGAAUAGUAGUAAUAUAUCAAAAGAAUUUUAUUUAUCAUACUCUCAAUAAGUAUAGUAUUUGAACAGUGAUAUAUACAAAUUAACUUGUUGAAUCAUUAGCUUCGAAAGUUAAGAAGUCACAUACUAUUUGCAAGAUUAUUGAUACCAAUACAUGUCAAUAGUUUCAUUAAAAGUGUAGGUAUUGGGGAGUGUUGUCCGUUUUUACUUCCAUUGUAAGGUCAUAGACACGUUUCUUUGUAUAAUUGUGGAUAAUAAUUAUAUGUAACGAUAAAAAAUAUUUUUUUGAAUUAUUUUAUAAAAAAAAUAAUUUAUCUGAUUAAUUAUUGAUAAAAAUGAGAUCAAAAGUAAAAAAUAAAAUAAUAAAAAUAAAUAAAUAAAUUCUAUUUUUAGAAAAAGAGAGGUGUUACAUCACUCUUCUAACUAAAAAAUAUAUGUAAUGUGAGAAUUACGUAAAAAGAAUUGAUGAGACAUAUUAAUAAAUAGAGAAUACAAAACGAUAAAGGUUUUUUUUUAUAACUCAUGAGAUAUAUAAUUGAAUGUAAUAAAUAUAAUAGAUUCUUUAAAUUAUUGGUUAUGUUAAUUAAUGAAAAUAAAUAAAUAAAUGACUUUCUAGAUCAUAAAAAAUGACCACACCACUUUAUCUAUAUCUAACUUUACUAUAGAUAUAAAUGUGACAAGAGUAGUAAGACAUUGAUGCAAUCAAAUCUGACAAUUUAAACCUUUCUAAACAAAUCACAAUUUCAGGAUCUUAAUUAAGAAAAAGAAACAAAUUAAUUGAUUAUAUAUGUUUCAUUCUUGACAGUUGACAUUUUGGAAUUUCUCUCUUUUACUUUUUUUUUUUUUGUAUUUUUGUUCCUAUUAUUUUUCAUUUGGAUAAUUUUAUUGUAUUUAUGUAAUUCUAUCUCUUUUUUUAGUUACAUUUCAAAAUGAUUUUCGGUGCCACAUUUUUCCACAUCCCUUUUCAAUUAUUUAUUUUUGCCUAUUUAAUAUUUUCAGUAUUUUUCCUUUAAGAUAGUUAAGUUAGUUCAUUUUUUUGCUUCAACUAAUUUUAAAGGAAAAUUCAAAAAUUAAAAUUUUCUGUUAGUUAACUUUUUUUUAUAUUUGUUAUGAUGUAGAAUUAUAUUGAUAAUUAUAAUUGAUCAUUUUCCUUUUCUAUAUCUAUUAUUUAUUUUAGAUUAUGAAGAUCACAUGUCAAUAAAUUAAAAUACAUCAAAAAAAAAUAUUCUAUUGUUUCUCAAGAGUUUUUUUUUGAUGAAAACUUUAGUGAUCGAUCUUACUUUUAUAAUUUCGUAUGACUUUUUUCAAAUCUAUCUUUCAUUGUUUGUACACAUUUUUUUUUGUUUGCAUCUUUCUCGCAAAUACAAAUAUUAAAUCAAAUUUAGAAAGCUCAAAACAUUAAACAAUAUUAUCUCCUUGAUCAUCAAAUAAAAAUAGUUCUAAAAUAUUUGUUGAGAUUUGAGUAGGAUCAAUUACAAUUUUAAAUAAUUACUCUUUCAUACAAAAAUGAUAGUCUCUUCAUACUUAUUUUUUUUCCUUUUAAUAUUUUAUGAAAGUUGUUAUUCUUCUCUUUAAUAAUGAAUCAACCUUUUUUUUCACCUUUCACUAAUCUUAGCUUAUAAAAUAUUUAUAAAUCACUUUUUAUCUUGACUAAUUUUUACUACAAUUAUAAUAUACGACAUAUUUUAUUUAUAUAAAAUGAAUAGAUUGAGAAAUACAUAACCUCAAUUACAUAAAUACUAUAAAUUAUUCAAAUAAAUUAAACUCAAAGUAUUAAAUGUAUAAAUUAAUAUUCCUUUAACUUUAGUUAUAUGUUAGUUAAUAUUUCUAAAUUAUUCUAAAAGGUAAACAUAAGCAAAAAAUAUGGAAUUCUUGAAUUCUCAAAUUAAUUUUAUUAUUCUCAACUUAAUAUAACAACACAAAAAUUAAAUUCAUUUUUUGUGAAGGAAAAAAAACAUAUACAAUGUUGAAUCAAUUAAAAAAAUCUUGAAGGUCUACGAACUAAACGAUUCAAGCCUUCAAGGUUAAAAACAAUUUAUCUGAAAUUUUAAAAAAAAAAUUAGUAUAAAAAUAAAUUAAAAUUAAUUAAUAAAUAAAAGAAUCUUUGUAGAAGUACCAAGGAAGAUGAUCCUUUCCUCUAAUAUUUAAUUUGUAAACAUAACCAACAUCCAAUAUACUACUGAAGAUUAAUGGACAAAUUAGUAAUUCCUAAGGGUUGCAAGCCCAUCCAAUUCAAUUACACAAAAAGAGAAACCUAUGUCGAUUAAGAAUCGAAAGUCGUCGUUCGUUAGACAAGGCCCACGUGCUGUGCAUCUCUGGUGUUCUGCUCGUGGAAUAGAAAGAGUUCGUUGCAUCAACAAAGUGUAUUAGUCAAAAAGGCUUACUUAAGCUUAUCGAUGUGUACUCCUACGAUCUUUCCGGAUUAGGGAGCAGAGUAUGAACCUGAAACCAAUAUGAAAGAAAGUCAUCAAGCAAGAUAGCAAGUGUCAAGUGUAGGUCUCCCAUUCUAUUACUGGGAGUUAGAGACGAAUAAACCUCACUUAAGGUUUGUUACCCACCGGAAUGGAUUGCGCUUUUCUUUCCCACCGGUUUCAGAGCGCUGUUUUCAACCCCAUGAGGAGUCAGUCAAUGCACGAUGAGGAACUACCAACCGGUAACCAAUUGACGUCGGAUUCCGGUGAAGCGAAAAGCGCCUUUACCUUUAGUUGGAAAUAAAUAUAGGUCGGAUUUCCACUUCUAUAAGCGAACUCAAACCACAAAUGUUAUCUGUCCUACCGGUGAGUUACAGUUAAACGCCCUACUCGCUAUACCGUUAGUGACGCUUAUCACGCUUUCAAUCGGUUAAACACAUUCUCUUACCCGUUGAACUUAUUACUUUCCAGGGGAUCCUUUACUGAUUUAUUCUUCAAACUUAAACUUAAAUCCCUAAAUAUUAUCAUAUGCAUCUUCCAUUAUAAACAAUAAAACUUAUUCACAAAAAAUAUGCAUGGAAUAAUAAGUGUAGUAAAAUCAAUAAUAAUGAGGGGGAAAAACAACACAAAUGAAAAAAUAAUAAUAAGAAAGAACACUAUAAAUAAGAGACAUCAAACAAACUAAAAUGAGAAGAGUAACACAAAUUAUAUAUAGUACUUAUCAAAAUUGAAUUUGAAUUUGGAAUCCCAAAAUUGCCAUAUGCUCAUCUUAUCUUCUACACCGUAAAUAAUAGAAGUUAGUGGCAAAUAAUAUACAUAUAAUAAAAUUAGCCGUAAACAAAGUGAUGUACUUUAGUAUAAAUAAAAUGAAGAAAGAAGAAGAAGAAAUUCUUACUGUUGGUGAAGAUGAUAUGCUCUAGUAUUUAUAGUAAUCAAUAAAUUUGUAACUUUAUUGAAUAAUAUAAAUUAAAAGAGUAAUAUAGUAGUCAAUAAAAUUGUAACUUAUAUUGAUAUUAAUGUCUUAAUUGUAAGUUAGUAAUAUCUUUAAGAAGGAAUGGAGAAAGGUAUUAGAAAAAAGUGAUUAAUGAUGUUAAAUGGUGAACAAAAUAAAUAAAAUUAUAGUUAAUUUUUGCAAAAUAUUAAGGCAGGAAAAUAAUGAAAAAGGCACAAAAUGUAGAGAGGAGAAAAAAAAAGGAUGAAUAAGAAAAGGGCAAUAAAAGAUUUUAUUAAUUGAUUAGUUGGGCUAAUAACGGAAAAAGGUUGUUUUUUUGGGCUUUAUUGAUUUCAGUUAGUGACCUUUUUCCAUUCUUCAAUAUAAUAUAUAUAAUAAUUAGCAAUUAAUGUAAUAACUUAUAGACACUAAAUUAAUAUGAUUACUAAAUAGAAUAUGAUUAAUUCUUUAAUAAAAAAUAAGAUAAAAUAGAGAAAAAAAAAGUCAAAAAAAUGAGAAAAAUGAUAAUUAGCAAUGGAGGCCUUAGAGAGGUGUCACAUCACCUUUUUUACAUUUGGCUUUAUAUUAUAUAUAGAUUGUUUUUAAUAAAGAUGCCAACAUGAGCAUGUGGGGAGGUUACGAUAGUGCAGUGCAUGUGGGGAGGUUACGAUAGUGCAGUGCAGUGGUAAGUCGUAAGGGAUUUUGAAUUUGAGUCUAUAGUAUAAAAUUGUUUUUGAUAAAGAAAGUUUUAUUUUUAAAUUAGUAGAAUUUUUUAAUAUAAAUUCAAAUUAGUUGGACUCUAAAAUAAUAAUCGAACACUGAGUUAAGAAAAAGAGAGGAACAUGUGGGGAAGUUAUUGGAACGUUACAUAUUUUGUUCUCAUCAGAAUAUUUAGGCAUUAUUAUUGUAUUCGUUAAGAGAGCAUGUUAAACUUUACUAGUUAAGAAAAAGAGAGGAACAUGUGGGGAAGUUCUUGGAACGUUACAUAUUUUGUUCUCAUCAGAAUAUUUAGACAUUAUUGUUGUAUUCGUUAAGAGAACAUGUUAAACUUUACUAGUUCUUUAAAGGAUAUUCGUAAGGUAUAUUGUUCAAUAUAAACUUUGUUUUGUUGGACAUAUAUAAAUUAUAUUUAGUAUUAUAUUUUUUCAAUUUAUAUGAUAUUUUUUCUGAUUUAUUGUUUCAAUUAAAAUGACGUCUUUUUAUAUUUAAAGUGUUUUUUUAAUUUAUCAUUAAUUAAAUGAAUUAUAGAUAUAAAAAUUCCUAUGACUUACUUACAUCCAAGUUUUAAUAACUUCUUUUAAACAUUUCACAUCAAAUUAAACAAGAUGGAUAACUAUUUUUUAAGCCUUGUUUGCGAGGAAAACUUAUACUACUUACUUUUCAUUUACGAUCUCGACAUUUUAUAAUAUGUUAGUUAUUAUCAAAUUGAAAUUUAUGAUUAAAAAAACUUACUAUACGUAAGACUAUUACAAGUCAUUUAUUUAAUUGUAUUCAUAUCUUUUAUUCUGUGCAUUGAAUAUAGACUCUGCGAAUAUUAUAGGUCUACGAAGACUCGGAUGCUCAGUCAAAGUUGCAUCACCUUCAUUUUCAUACUACAAAAAAAAAAUAAAAAAAUCUAUAUAUGAGAAAAUGAAAAAUAGUUUUAUAUAUAUGAGAAUAUGUAUAAAAUAGUCCCUAAAGUUUAGUUUUGGUUCUUUAAGUUUAUCAAAGGUUAAUACUUUUGAUUUCGUCAAAUAUUUAACGUACUUAAAAUGUUAAUACUUUUGAUUUUGUCAAAUAUUUAAUGAACUUUAGUAAUUUGAUUUGAUGAGAUAUACGAAGUAUUUUUUAGUCAUAAAAGUAAGAAAGUCUCAUCAAAUCCUAAAAAUCUCAAUAUAAAAAACUACACUAGAUAAAAUUUGUACAAAACAAUACACCAAAUUCUAGAAAGAAACCAAAACUUACAAAAAUAGUAACUCCAAAUGCAAUUUCCACUAAAAAAAAUAUUGCUUUCCGUUAAAUCAGACGAAAAGUAAUACCAACUCUUUGCAAACUUUAGGGACCAAAACAGUUCAAAUCAUCAUACUUUAGGGACAAUUUUGUUAUCAUUUUUUUCACUAUUUGGCCUUUUUUCAUCUAUUAAAACCAGAACUUCCUGCAUGAUAUAUCACCAAAAUAACACAAACAUCAAUAGAAGUUGAUUACUGGUCUUUCUCUUUAAUAAAUACCCUUUUGUACCUACCUACCUACCUAUCUGCUCAAAUGUCUCUCGUCAAAAUUCAAACCAACACUCAUUUGCCCAAACGCAUAAUCCUGGUCCGUCACGGCGAGUCUUCAGGAAACGCCGACAGAAAUGUGCGCGGAACAACUCCAACUCACAAAUUUGAACUGACGGAGAAAGGGAUUGAGCAGGCCAAGCAAACUGGAAUCCGAAUUAAGAAACUGAUUUCUGAAAAUGAUAACAAUUGGAAGGUUUUCUUCUAUGUUUCGCCUUUAGAGCGAACGAGAAAGACGUUGAGAGAGAUCGGCGGAUCGUUCCCAACGAGGAGAGUGAUGGGUGUGAAGGAAGAGCCUAGGCUGAGAGAUUUGAAUUUUGGAAACUAUCAUGACCCUGCAAGUAUAGGAAAGAUUCAGAAGGAACGAUUUACGUAUGGGAGGUUUUAUUAUAGAGUACCUGGUGGUGAAACUGGAGCUGAAGUUUAUGAUCGUAUAUCAGGUCAGUUCUAUUGGUUUUUUCUACGACUUAAUGGUCAAAAUCACAAUUCAAUAUUGUUUUUUUCUCUACCCUAAUUUGUUUCCUUUUUCUACUUACAUAGUAAUUCACAGUUGAGGUGUGUUUUGUUACUGGUGAUAGUUCAAAUGGGAAAAGAGAACAAUUCAUAGUUAGUUAGAAUAUAAUAUUCGCAAAAAAAUGAUAAUUUAGAUAUGUAUUUGGCGAAAAAGUUAUAAUUCUGAACAGGGUGCUUGUUUGUCGUUGUUAUGCAUUUGAAGUGCUCUGUUUUUCAUUUUAAUUUCUUGAACAUAGUUUAGAUGUUUCUUUUCCUUCUUGAGCUAUAUAUGCGUUACCUUGACAUUUAAUUGAAGUGUAUAUAUAUUUAAGUAAACACGAACUUAAUUUAUUGACUAGAAAUAAUAUGAUUUGACUUUUUUACAGUUUAUAAGCUGAAAGUCGUCUCCUUAUGAAAAAGUUAUAAUAAUAAUAAUAAGGAAGUAAAUUAGGUGGUGACUUUAAAGGAACAUAUACUAAGAUUUCUUGUACUAUCAAUAUAAUUCAACACAUUUAAUCGAGUUUAAGUUACAAACAUCAAUGGUGUAAGAAACCCUUCCACUCAUUCAAAGGAUGUCUAUAAGUAAGCCUCGUCCUGAUGAUGAUAUAACCUAAACUCUUUCCUAGACUACCAAUCAAUAUAUGUUAUGUAGAGAUUUGAUUAUAAUAAUUACCUUAGUCGUAAAUAAUAAGAUGAUUGUGUAAAUAUUUUCAAGACGAAUAGUAUAGUAAUAACAUAAACUCAUACUAUAACAAUAUGUAGGUUAUAUUGAAUGCUUGAGGAGGGACAUAGAAAUGAAGAAAUUCGUCUGUCAUGAUCCUUGUCAAGAAACCAACAUCAUCAUCAUUACCCAUGGACUAUCCAGUCGGAUCUUCCUCAUGAAAUGGUUCGACUGGACGGUUGAGCAAUUUGAGGUUCUCAAUAGGAUGAGAACUGGUGAAUUUCAAGUGUUGCAAUUAGGGCAUGGCGGGGAACUCUUUUUUAGACUAUCAAUCAAUAUCUGUUAUGUAGAGAUUUGAUUAUAAUAAUUACCUUAGUCGUAAAUAAUAAGAUGAUUGUGUAAAUAUUUUCAAGACGAAUAGUAUAGUAAUAGCAUAAACUCAUACUAUAACAAUAUGUAGGUUAUAUUGAAUGCUUGAGGAGGGACAUAGAAAUGAAGAAAUUCGUCUGUCAUGAUCCUUGUCAAGAAACCAACAUCAUCAUCAUUACCCAUGGACUAUCCAGUCGGAUCUUCCUCAUGAAAUGGUUCGACUGGACGGUUGAGCAAUUUGAGGUUCUCAAUAGGAUGAGAACUGGUGAAUUUCAAGUGUUGCAAUUAGGGCAAGGCGGGGAAUACAGCCUAGCAUUUCAUCAUGAUGACAAAAAACUUCGCGAAUGGGGACUAUCUCCUGAUAUGAUAGAGGAUCAAAAAUGUAAAGCUUAUGGUCCUACAGGAGUUAAAUGGCAGGGAACUUGUGAUUCAUAUCCUUUCAUGGAUUGUUUUGCAGAAGAUUCAGAUGAUGAGAAUACAUUAUCUAAAUUAUAAGUACUAGCUAGCUAGUAAUCGUCCCUUUUAAGUAAAAUUAUGGUGUAAUUGGAUUGUUAUUAACUUAAACUCCCUCUCUGUUUUAGUCUUUACCUGUAUGCUAAAUUUGAUUGUUAUUAACUAUAUAUUCUCUUAUUUUAAAGAACUACAUCUUCUUAAUAACUUUCCAUUCUUAAGGAACACCUAAUAAAUAGAGGUAACUUAUAGUUAUAAUGAACGUGAAAUAAGCUAAAAUGAUACUUAUUUUGGGACGAGACGGAGAGUAGGUUUCAACUUUUCACAUUUGCUUUACUAAUUAGGAUUAUGAGGUCGACAAAUUCUGUUGUCUUCUUCUUUCUUUUUAAAAUAUGAAAUUUGUUUGCGUGGAUUUGAAUUUGAAAGAGUUUGGCAUGAUUGUUACUCUUUUUUAUUUGUUUCUUUUCCUUUUGCUUUCUAUACUUUUAGUUUAUGGUGGGUGUCCUUUGAAUUAGUAAAAUAUUUAUAUAUUUUUCAAUUCCUUUUCCCUUUCUUUAUGUCAGUAUUAUUUCAUUUUACCUGUCUGAAUUCUCAUUCAACAAAUCACACAGUACUGGCUCUCAAUAUAUAUAUUCCCAUGGGAUAAGGACCCCUUCAACAUAAAAUUCGACAAGUCCUUUAGGAACAACACUUUUAACAUGCGAUAAGAGGGCCGAAUAUGCUCUGAACUAUGCGAAAAGGAAUAAUUUUACCCCUAGAUUAUGAAUUUAACGGUACACUUCUACAAAUCUGUUUAUGUCUGUCCUGUUGGUAUGUAGGCUCAGAAGAUUCAUUGGUGCAAGAAAGACAUAAACCUUUUACUCAAACAAAAUCCAGUCAUGUACUGUAACUGUCUCUAUAGUUGUCCAUUAGGCAGCUACCUAAAAUUAAGCAGGCAACUCGACCUGUCUUAUGUCUAAUCUUACAAGUUCACCAAGUCCAGGUAGUGUUUUCUCCCUAAAAAAUCACAAACUUUAGCAGUUACCAACCAUGGAUGUGGUACAGUGGUGAACUGCUUCACCAUUAAACAUACCUUAGAAGUUUUGGGUUCGAGCCCUGAAUAUGGAGAAAAUCUUAUUUAAACUGCGCGAUUCAAAUUUAGUCAGACUCCAAUGGGACCCGUGAGGGAAACAAAAAUAAAAUAAAAAAUCUAGGUAGCGAUACUAUAGUUAUACUCAUUUUUUUUUUCUUUAAUGGCUUUUAUUAAUUAAUUUAUUUAUUUUUAAAUUUAAACAAGGCUAAUAGCCUGUUUCGCCAAAUUCUUAAGAAGUUAAAAAUGUUUAUUUUAGAAAAUUUAGGUAUUUGGUCAAGUUUUUAGGAAAAAAUGUAAGUGAUUUAAGUAGUAGUAAUAAAUAAGUAGUUUUUUCAAAAAUUGUUACUUACACUUUUUUUUUAAAAAAAAAUACAUCUUUCCAUUUUAGGGACAAACAAAUUGAUACGACAUUUAUUACUUUUUUCAGGACAAGUGAAUAAUUACUUACAAAUUUGGGGACCACGUAGGAACACUAAAUGACAUACGUGGACCAGAUUGAUUGGUCUACUGAAUAACUCUAUUUUCCCGGUUUUGAUUAAAGUUUAAUUUGGAUUGUGAUUAGCACUAAAACACAUCCAUUGUUAGUGUUUGAAUGAUGAUCAAACGCUACCUUUGCUAUUUUAAAAAAGCAGAGACUUGUUCUUCACUACCUAAUUCCUUCUAUUUUCUCUCUUCUACAAAUGUUGCAUUAUGUUUAACCAACUCCAUAUAUUUCGUCUCUCUUUUUUGGGAUCUGAGUUACUUUUACUUUUCCUAAUCCACUAAAGCUAAUCACUAUUUGUGUUUUUUUCUCUCUCUCUGUAUUUUGGAUUUCAAGAAAGAGUUUGAAUACUACUCACUACAAUCAUUUGUGUGCUUGCUUAUACAUUCUUUUCGUUUGGUGGGUUGCAAGGCAUUAGGAUAUAGACCCAUUUUGUGAAGUGGGUUUUUGUUUAGACUUGCUCAAAUGAUUGAGUUUGAGUUUCAGAUUAUUAGAAAGUUUUGAUCUUUUUGACACAGGUAUGGAAAAUGUGUGUUUUUUUGGGUGUUUGAUAUGUGGGUUUCAGUGAAAAUCUGAAAAAUUGGGUGGGUGUUUGAUAUGUGGUUUUCAGUGAAAAUUUGAAAAAAUGGGAUUUUCAGAUUUGUAGUUUUGUUGUCUUUUUCUUGAUUUUGUUUUGAAAUUGAAAUCUGGUUUGGGUUGUUUGCUUGCUUGUUUGUUUUGUGUACUGACAGUUGGGUUUUGGAACUUUUGUUGUGUGUUUUAGGGGCACUUUUAUGGCUUAUCCAUCAGACCAUAGGUCCUCUAGUCGUGGGACUGUGAGAUUUGUUUUGGUUCUGGUGGGUUUGUUUUUGGUUAUUUACAUGGUGACAACACCAACAUUGCGGCACUCUAAGGCUUUGUCUUCAUGUCCUCCAUGUUUCUGUGAUUGUGAGGAGGAUCCCAUGUUCUCGCCUAUAGGUCAGUUUAUCUCUCUUUGGAUGCUAAAUCUUGCUCAUCUACCUUUGAAAUUGUGUAGGUUGUGUACUUAUGUUGGCUGAUUUGAUUCUAAUGACUAAAAGUAAUGCCUUUUACAUAUUGAGACACUUAGUUCAUUUAAAGUUGAGUUUCUGCUUUUAGUAAGAAGUGAUAUUGUUUAAGGUCUAUGUAUGAACAAUUUGAUUAAGAAAACUUGUAUAGCCUUCAUGGGGUUGCUUGUCAUCCAAAUUGGUGAACUAUGGUCCAUUUUUGUAAUAAGUAUUAACCAAUUGAAUAAACUGGCAGGAUUCUCAAUUAAUAGUACCUUAUUUUUACCACUUAUAGAAGGUGGAGAAUGAACUAUAACUAAAUAUUAGAAGGAAUUCAUGUGAGUUGAAAACUUUUUGGUUCUUCCACAGGAGGAAGAACUGGAAAUAGACACAAAACCAUUCAUCCUAGCUCUAUUUUUGUUCAAAUGAAAUGCUUAGCCAAUUUCAUGCAUCAACCAAAAGGUCAUUUCUAAGUCGAUAUGUUCUUAUUGAGUAUGGCUAGAGAAUAUUCAUGACAGAAGUAACAGGAAUGAGUGAGCUGUCUUGUAUAUUUAAAGACUAUAUACAAAAAUCAAAUGCUUCGUAUUAUUAUACUUCCAUAUACAUAGCGAGGAUUUCAUACAGUCAAUCUUAAGUUAGGUCUUUCUAGAAUCCUCAAGAACUAAGUGAAUUUGCUUAGAAUUGCUGCAGGUUACUAUUCAUAAUAAAAUAAUUUUUAAUUACACAAAAUAUAUAUGAUUUAUUUUUUUUAAAAAUCUUUUUUUCUUUCGCUCCAUACCAAGUCAUACCAAUUCAUAUUAGUUGAAACGAAGGGAGUAAUCAUUACAAAAAUAAGCUGACUUCUUAAGUAUAUCAUUUUUUUUAAUUAUAUACAUCACGCUAAUAUUUGUAUUUCUAUUUUUGCAUCUUUCUUAUUUUAUCUACAAAUGACAAAUACAACGCGAAGUUGAAAAUCACACGUUCAAAAAUUCAAAUUCAAAUGUUAAUCCAUCACGUUCCCACUUCCAGCAAUGAACUAGAGGCUUGCAGACUAGUGUGUGGGGUGUGUAGCUACAUUAUGGCCAUGCUGGCCUAGUUUGUUAGUUUGUUGAAGCUUGUGAGUUGUUUGAUGUAUUGUCUUGACAUAUACAUGCUUUCAGUUUUGGUAUAGAAAUCAUGGUGGCCUCGACGUCCCAAUCAGGGUUUCUGUGCUAGUUUGCUAUUUCUUUAUAUGAACUCUUGGGAGUAGCUGUUUCGUUUAUAGAUCUGUUGACAGGGACCUUGUCGGCCGAGGGCUUAGUUUUAAGCCGAGAUAUACUUGUUUAUUUUAUUGAUUGUGUGUGACUGCCAUAUGCUAGUAGCAAAUAGUUCAGCAGGGUCAGCUCGGGCCUGAGUUUUGGCAUUAGGAGCCAGUUGCGCCCCUUGAGUUUGGGGCGUGACAGUUUUUGUGUGAGUUUUGAAUACUCCCUCGAAAAUUUAUAUGAUUCACUUUUCUUUUGAGUUAUUUCCAAAAAAAUGAAAUAUAUUUUUUAUAUUUAGUAACAAUUUAACUUUAAAAUACUCAUUUUAUUCAUAAUAAAAUAAUUUUUAAUUACACAAAAUAUAUAUGAUUUAUUUUUUUUAAAAAUCUUUUUUUCUUUCGCUCCAUACCAAGUCAUACCAAUUCAUAUUAGUUGAAACGAAGGGAGUAAUCAUUACAAAAAUAAGCUGACUUCUUAAGUAUAUCAUUUUUUUUAAUUAUAUACAUCACGCUAAUAUUUGUAUUUCUAUUUUUGCAUCUUUCUUAUUUUAUCUACAAAUGACAAAUACAACGCGAAGUUGAAAAUCACACGUUCAAAAAUUCAAAUUCAAAUGUUAAUCCAUCACGUUCCCACUUCCAGCAAUGAACUAGAGGCUUGCAGACUAGUGUGUGGGGUGUGUAGCUACAUUAUGGCCAUGCUGGCCUAGUUUGUUAGUUUGUUGAAGCUUGUGAGUUGUUUGAUGUAUUGUCUUGACAUAUACAUGCUUUCAGUUUUGGUAUAGAAAUCAUGGUGGCCUCGACGUCCCAAUCAGGGUUUCUGUGCUAGUUUGCUAUUUCUUUAUAUGAACUCUUGGGAGUAGCUGUUUCGUUUAUAGAUCUGUUGACAGGGACCUUGUCGGCCGAGGGCUUAGUUUUAAGCCGAGAUAUACUUGUUUAUUUUAUUGAUUGUGUGUGACUGCCAUAUGCUAGUAGCAAAUAGUUCAGCAGGGUCAGCUCGGGCCUGAGUUUUGGCAUUAGGAGCCAGUUGCGCCCCUUGAGUUUGGGGCGUGACAGUUUUUGUGUGAGUUUUGAAUACUCCCUCGAAAAUUUAUAUGAUUCACUUUUCUUUUGAGUUAUUUCCAAAAAAAUGAAAUAUAUUUUUUAUAUUUAGUAACAAUUUAACUUUAAAAUACUCAUUUUAUUCAUAAUAAAAUAAUUUUUAAUUACACAAAAUAUAUAUGAUUUAUUUUUUUUAAAAAUCUUUUUUUCUUUCGCUCCAUACCAAGUCAUACCAAUUCAUAUUAGUUGAAACGAAGGGAGUAAUCAUUACAAAAAUAAGCUGACUUCUUAAGUAUAUCAUUUUUUUUAAUUAUAUACAUCACGCUAAUAUUUGUAUUUCUAUUUUUGCAUCUUUCUUAUUUUAUCUACAAAUGACAAAUACAACGCGAAGUUGAAAAUCACACGUUCAAAAAUUCAAAUUCAAAUGUUAAUCCAUCACGUUCCCACUUCCAGCAAUGAACUAGAGGCUUGCAGACUAGUGUGUGGGGUGUGUAGCUACAUUAUGGCCAUGCUGGCCUAGUUUGUUAGUUUGUUGAAGCUUGUGAGUUGUUUGAUGUAUUGUCUUGACAUAUACAUGCUUUCAGUUUUGGUAUAGAAAUCAUGGUGGCCUCGACGUCCCAAUCAGGGUUUCUGUGCUAGUUUGCUAUUUCUUUAUAUGAACUCUUGGGAGUAGCUGUUUCGUUUAUAGAUCUGUUGACAGGGACCUUGUCGGCCGAGGGCUUAGUUUUAAGCCGAGAUAUACUUGUUUAUUUUAUUGAUUGUGUGUGACUGCCAUAUGCUAGUAGCAAAUAGUUCAGCAGGGUCAGCUCGGGCCUGAGUUUUGGCAUUAGGAGCCAGUUGCGCCCCUUGAGUUUGGGGCGUGACAGUUUUUGUGUGAGUUUUGAAUACUCCCUCGAAAAUUUAUAUGAUUCACUUUUCUUUUGAGUUAUUUCCAAAAAAAUGAACAUUCUCAGUUCUCACACACCUUUGAAUAUUAUAAUUGAAGCUUUGGGUCUCGCCACAACUUUGCUCUUGUCAUUCAAUUAUUCAGUUUUUUCUAUUGAUUGACAUCAAUUGUUAUUCCAAUUGAAAGUAAGAUGCAAUCUUUAAAUAAUCGUUAAUUAAAUAGAUAAUGGUAUCCAUAAUAUGAGUUUAUCGUUUAAAAGAAUGUAGUGUAAUUGAUAGAACUAACAGUCUGAGACUUCAAGUUACGAUAAGAAUAAAAUCAAGUAGUCUGCUUUCAGCAUAAGCAAGUUGGUAAAACAUGAUGACAUAAUGGAAGUUAUAGUACUAUUUUACAUCAAGAUUGAAUUAAACGUGCUUGUCUGAUUUUUUUUUCUUUUGAAAGGGAUAAGAAACUCAUAGCAGUUUGCUCUACAAAUCUUAAUUUUGAAUGACCAUAAAUCCUUGGAACAGGAUUUAUAUUGAAUCCCAGCCAAUAUACAGAAAGAACCAAACCUUUUUCUGCUUUAUAUCUGCUAGUGUAGUAAGCAUCUUUUCCAAGGCAGUAUUAAAUUCAAUCUUAUGCUUGAUGACACUCAACACCGCCGAAGAAAUUCAUAUCUUCAUUGCAACAAUCACUAAUAUUUUUUACGGGAGAGAAAUUCUGAAGGAUGACUUGAACUAAUAAUACCACCUUUUAAAGGAAAAGAAGUGUCUUCUUUCCUUCAAUACUCAAUGUUGGAAAGGUUCCCCAAGCUUUACUAGCUCAUAGGAUGGACUUGAAUUUUGUUUUCUGAUCGUAAUUCUGCUUAUCAAAGAUCCAUGUCUAGUUUAAAAUUAAAGUUUGGUGUGUUUAUUGCCUUAGUCUAAAUUAUAAGAUCGUCGGUUAAAACUAAUUCCAAUUUUUUGAGACCAGAAUGAAUUUGCUGACUUAAAUGGAUGAUAGUGAUAUGAUUCAAAUAAUUAUUUAUACACACUAGUGAUAUAAUAGAGACUGAUUUCUUUUACAUGUGUCCACCAAAAAUCCUUCUGUUAUGAUAGUAGUUGGUUUCUUUAAUUUGUUAUUUGAGCAAAAUGUAACUGGUUUGUUCAGUGCGUUGAAUCAAUGAGGAUGCAUUUGAAUUAAGCUGCAAUUCAGAAGAGUGAAGUUUGAUACUUAUUUUCAUUUGUAAAAUUUUGUAAUGCAGAUUUCCUUGAAACCCUAUGGAGGGAUGUUGAUAUGAACAGGCACCAUCACAAUCCUAAUAAGGAGUUGAAUCUUGUAAUUGUAUCCCAUGGUCUAGCUAGUCAAGUUUUUCUAAUGAAGUGGUUCAAGUGGACAGUGGAACAAUUCGAGUACCUAAACAAUCUAGGGAAUUGUGAGUUUCGAGUUAUGGAAUUAGGGGCGGGUGGUGAAUAUAGCCUAGCAGUCCAUCAUACUGAUGAAGAGAUGCUAGAAUGGGGUAUGUCCCCUGAGAUGAUCGCUGACCAAAAAUGGCGAGCUAAUGCUAACAGGGGUACUUUGAAUGAUCAUUGCCCUUGGUACCUUGAUGCUUUCUUUGACCAUUUAGCGGAUUCAAAUGACAAAGAUGAUGAAGAUGUGAAGUCAAACAACUAGUAUCUCCCCUUAGCAUGACAUUGAUAAUGUGUAUUCGUUCCAAUUCUGUUGUACUGUUCAUUUGGUUAACUGAUAGAAAUGUUUGUAAGCUCUUUUCAAGUUGUUGUUACAAUUUUAUGCCCGGAGGCAUUAUCAGUGUCAAUUUCUUGUAAAUUUGAAACUUUCAAUUGUAUAACAAUCAUUUGAUAUCAAGGAUGAAGUAUGAAUUUAGUUUUUGACUGGUAAAAUUAUGAUUUUUAAACAGGAUGAAGAUUGAUUUAGUUUUGACAGGGUCAAGUUACAAGUUUUAGACCAGUUUUCACUGCUGAGGUCGUUGUUUUAACUGACGUAUAAUGGAAGGUAAUGCAGAGUUGAAAGGACUUUGCAUUGAAAUUCACCUUAUCAAGUUCUCUCGAGUCUAAUUCUGAAAACUUUGACCAAUGACCAUUAUUUUGACAUGGAAUGAAAAAUUGCCACAUAUAAUUUUUUAAUAUCUAAAUUAAAAUUUUAAGGUAUUGAAUUGAUUCAAAGCUUAUAAGUCAAUUAAACUGACUUAUAAACAUUCAAAAUGCUUAUGAGCCAAAAUCAACAAAAGUCAUUAGUAAUCGACCUCAACUUAUUAUUUCUUCAGAUUAUAAGCACUUUUAGUUAUCGAGCCUUCACUCUUAUGCAAUAGUUUGCAAACCACACAAGAGAGGUAAUUCGCACUAGGUAAACCCAGUGCGACAAGCUCGACCCAGAAAACAAAUCCCUUGCUUUCAGUGGCAAGAGAUUUCAAACUUGAGACCUCCAAUAUGAAAGUCUCAAGCCCAAACCACUAGGUUACUCGAAGAGUCAUUUUAUAAAUAAAUUUUCAAAAACAAAACUUCUAACUUCCCUCCAUCCCAUAUACACCAUUCAUCCUUUUCCUAACGAAAAUAUUUUUAUAUUUAUAAUUUGUAAUAAAGAAAGGAUGAAAAAUAAUAUGUUAAUCAUUUAUUUAUUAAAUUAAUUUUAAUACUAGAAAAAUUCUUAUGAACACGUAAUGUUUAAUAAUUUUCAUAUAUACUUCCCUGGUUGUAUAUGAGUUGAAUAAAAAAUAUCAAAUGAACGGUUGUUUUCAAACGAACUUUUUUAAGUAUCAGAUUCUUUGUAGGUGAUUUUCAUGUAAUUUCACAAAUUUGGAACUUAGCUCAUACGCUAAAAGAAUGCCGCGUGGGACAUAUAACUCUUAGCUUGACUCAAUUUUUAAUUACUCUCUAGUCAAGUCUAGUCCUUCAAUAUGCCAACAAAAACGACAUAUACGAAUAAAAAAAAGGACAAAAAAAUGUAAAUUGACUUCAUUAAUUAAGGAAGUCUUUUAAUAAUUCAUUGUAAUUAUUUAUUUGCUAAAAGCUUAUGUGGAACUGUAAACAUAUGUAUAAUUAAUUAUCUAAUGCAAAUAUAAAUGAAAACUUUUCACGCAUGCAAUGUAGUUGUAUAAUUAAUAAGGGAAACAUACUUUAUUAUUUAUGGUAAAUUAACAGAAGGAUAUUCUCUUAUGAGUUAAUUAAUUAUCGUAAUUAAUUUUUUCCAUCUUCUAAAGAAAAUGACUUGAAAAGAUGUAAUUAACUUGAAUAUCUAAUUAGUUAAGGUAACUUCAAUUAAGAAACUUUGCCGUAUGUUUAGGGCCACAAUAUAAUUCUCCAUGCAGGACAACGUAAAAUUAAUCAAUAUUGCGACAGGUCUCCUACUUGUCUACCACAAAAAAAAAAAUUAAAAAAAAUAAUGACACAGAAGAUGCCAACAUGAGCAUGUGAGGAGGUUCCGAUAGUGCAGUGCAGUGGUACGUCGUAAGGGAUUUUGAAUUUGAGUCUUAGUAUAAAAUUGUUUUUGAUAAAGAAGGUUUUAUUUCUAAAUUAGUUAAAUUUUCUAAUAUAAAUUCAAAUUAGUUGGACUCUAAAAUAAUUAUCAAACACUGAGUUAAGAAAAAGAGAGGAACAUGUGGGGAAGUUCUUGGAACGUUACAUAUUUUGUUCUCAUCAGAAUAUUUAGGCAUUAUUAUUGUAUUCGUUAAGAGAGCAUGUUAGACUUUACUAGUUCUUUAAAGGAUAUUCGUAAGGUAUAUUGUUCAAUAUAAACUUUGUUUUGUUGGACAUAUAUAAAUUAUAUUUAGUAUGAUAUUUUCUCAAUUUAUAUGAUAUUUUUUCUGAUAUAUUGUUUCAAUUAAAAUGACGUCUUUUUAUAUUUUAAGUAUUUUUUUAAUUUAUCAUUAAUUAAAUGAAUUAUAGAUAUAAAAAUUUCUAUGACUUACUUACAUCCAAGUUUAAUAACUUCUUUUAACAUUUCACAUCAAAUUAAACAAGAUGGAUAACUAUUUUUUAAGCCUUGUUUGCGAGGAAAACUUAUACUACUUACUUUUCAUUUUACGAUCUCGACAUUUUAUAAUAUGUUAGUUAUUAUCAAAUUGAAAUUUAUGAUAUAAAAAGACUUACUAUACGUAAGACUAUUACAAGUCAUUUAUUUAAUUGUAUUCAUAUCUUUUAUUCUGUGCAUUGAAUAUAAACUCUGCGAAUAUUAUAGGUCUACGAAGACUCGGAUGCUCAGUCAAAGUUGCAUCACCUUCAUUUUCAAACUAUACAAAAAAAAAAAAUUAAAAAAAUCUAUAUAUGAGAAAAUGAAAAAUAGUCUUAUAUAUGUGAGAAUAUGUAUAAAAUAGUCCCUAAAGUUUAAUUUUAAUAGUUUUGGUUCUUUAAGUUUAUCAAAGGUUAAUACUUUUGAUUUCGUCAAAUAUUUAACGUACUUAAAAUGUUAAUACUUUUGAUUUUGUCAAAUAUUUAACGAACUUUAGUAAUUUGAUGAGAUAUACGAAGUAUUUUUUAAUCAUAAGAGUAAGAAAGUCUCAUGAAAUCCUAAAAAUCGCAAUAUAAAAAACUACACUAGAUAAAAAUUGUACAAAACAACACACCAAAUUCUAGAAAGAAACCAAAACUUACAAAAAUAGUAACUCCAAACGCAAUUCCCACUAAAAAAAAUAUUGCUUUCAUAGUUUCCGUCAAAUCAGACAAAAAGUAAUACCAACUCUUUGCAAACUUUAGGGACCAAAACAGUUGAAAUCAUCAUACUUUAGGGACUAUUUAUCAUUUUUUUCACUAUUUGGCCUUUUUUCAUGUAUAUAAACCAUGUGAACUUCGUGCAUGAUAUAUCACCGAAAUAACACAAACAUCAAUAGAAGUUGAAAGCAUGCUAGGGUUCUGAAAGUGUUCUAGAUUCAUAAAACAACUCUCUCUGUCACUGUCGCCGGAGAUUAUUAUUUCCCGAUCUGAUCGAAAGCAGGUCACCGGGAACAAUGGCGUUAGCUUUCGAUGAAUUCGGAAGGCCGUUUAUAAUACUAAGGGAGCAAGAACAAAAAACUAGAUUAAGAGGCCUCGAUGCUCAGAAGGCCAACAUUUCUGCCAGAAAAGCUGUUGCACGUAUUUUACGUACCUCACUUAGUCCUAAAGGCAUGGAUAAGAUGCUUCAGAGCCCUGACGGCGAUGUCACCAUCACAAAUGAUGGUGCCACCAUUUUGGAGCAGAUGGAUGUUGACAAUCAGAUUGGAAAGUUGAUGAUUGAGUUGUCACGAAGUCAAGAUUAUGAAAUUGGCGAUGGAACCACUGGAGUUGUUGUCAUGGCUGGGGCACUGCUAGAACAAGCUGAGAAGUUGUUAGAACGUGGUAUUCAUCCUAUUUGGAUUGCAGAAGGGUAUGAAAUGGCUUCAAGGAUUGCAGUUGAGCAUUUGGAGCGUGUAGCACAUAAGAUUGAAUUCGGUCUGAAUGACAUUGAGCCUUUGGUUCAAACUUGCAUGACUACUUUGUCAUCUAAGAUUGUGAAUAGAUGAUGCAAACGUAGCAUGGCUGAAAUUGCUGUUAAAGCUGUUUUAGCAGUUGCUGAUUUAGAGAGGAAGGAUGUAAACCUGGACUUGAUCAAAGUUGAAGGGAAAGUUGGUGGGAAGUUAGAGGACACAGAGCUAAUUUAUGGUAUUAUAGUUGACAAAGAUAUGAGUCAUCCACAGAUGCCAAAGCAAAUUGAGGAUGCGAAAAUUGCAAUUUUGACAUGUCCUUUUGAGCCUCCUAAGCCAAAGACUAAGCAUAAGGUUGACAUUGAUACUGUGGAGAAGUUUCAAACUUUACGCCUACAGGAGCAGAAGUACUUUGAUGACAUGGUCCAGAAGUGCAAGGAUGUUGGUGCUACCUUAGUUAUCUGCCAGUGGGGUUUUGAUGAUGAAGCUAAUCACUUAUUAAUGCAUAGAAAUUUGCCCGCUGUUAGAUGGGUAGGUGGUGUGGAAUUGGAGCUGAUAGCAAUUGCCACAGGUGGGAGAAUAGUACCAAGGUUUCAAGAGUU
RNAcentral lists this long non-coding RNA (28652 nucleotides) under Solanum tuberosum (potato). RNAcentral's name for it is "long non-coding RNA (STUB_LNC002262)". The record is from RNAcentral. Lineage: Eukaryota; Viridiplantae; Streptophyta; Magnoliopsida; Solanales; Solanaceae.